CCCUUAACUAUCUUCAGAAGAAAUCGGUAAAAAUAAAACGAACUUUUUGUUACAUAAAGACAAGGAGAACAUUCUUGAUAUUAACUGUGUAAUGAGCAACGCUUCAGAAUAUCUCGAUAGUCGUACUUCUUUAGAGGGCGACUUGGGUGAAAGUUUCACUAAAUUACAAUAUCUUAACAAAAAUAGAUUAUGGCACGAGUUGACCAUCUUUUUAUUGG
Molecule: long non-coding RNA, 218 nt
Organism: Zophobas morio
Lineage: Eukaryota; Metazoa; Arthropoda; Insecta; Coleoptera; Tenebrionidae
Exons: 3
Source: RefSeq, a predicted model, not a curated record